Paramuricea clavata is the source of this 371-nucleotide non-coding RNA. The record is from the annotation of a GenBank genome assembly. NCBI's taxonomy places the organism in Eukaryota, Metazoa, Cnidaria, Anthozoa, Malacalcyonacea, Plexauridae.
GCCUUGCUCAGUGGUAAUUACCAUGAGGAUUUAGGACCAGUGGCGUCAUUCUGGCAUCAGCAAAUGUGAAAAUCCGCCAUGUUUUUGGCUUCACUUGCUUGACUGAAGAGAGAUAGGAGCACUUCCUCCAGAUAUAUUAUAGCUCAGUGGGUGCACCAUGAACGUUUGGCUUUCUAGUCCGCCAUCUUUGAAUUUUCUUAAUGUUUUUAAACAUACUGCUGACCGGUAAUUGUGCUGGCUAUGACAACGAUAGGCCGUCUCAACAUUUGAUUUUGAAAUUGAUUUUAGUUUUGCUAUGAGAACAAUAGGCCACACAUUUACAUACCGCUUUUUGUCUUAAAAUGAAAAUCGUAUGUUAAGAAUUUUUUAUU